This 422-nucleotide ribosomal RNA is filed under the name uncultured Chitinophaga sp. Its description in RNAcentral is "bacterial SSU rRNA". It matches the Rfam family "Bacterial small subunit ribosomal RNA", at positions 355 to 774 of the family's 1533-position model. The record is from RNAcentral. Lineage: Bacteria; Pseudomonadati; Bacteroidota; Chitinophagia; Chitinophagales; Chitinophagaceae.
UAAGGAAUAUUGGUCAAUGGACGCAAGUCUGAACCAGCCAUGCCGCGUGAAGGAUGAAAGCCCUCUGGGUUGUAAACUUCUUUUAUCUGGGAAGAAACCACCUUUUUCUAAGGGUGUUGACGGUACCAGAGGAAUAAGCACCGGCUAACUCCGUGCCAGCAGCCGCGGUAAUACGGAGGGUGCAAGCGUUAUCCGGAUUCACUGGGUUUAAAGGGUGCGUAGGCGGAUUAGUAAGUCCGUGGUGAAAUCUCCAAGCUUAACUUGGAAACUGCCAUGGAUACUAUUAGUCUUGAAUGUUGUGGAGGUUAGCGGAAUAUGUCAUGUAGCGGUGAAAUGCAUAGAUAUGACAUAGAACACCAAUUGCGAAGGCAGCUGGCUACACAAAUAUUGACGCUGAGGCACGAAAGCGUGGGGAUCAAACA